AGCAGCCGCGGUAAUUCCAGCUCCAAUAGCGUAUAUUAAAGUUGUUGCAGUUAAAAAGCUCGUAGUUGAAUUUCGGGGUCGGUAGAUUGGUCAUGCCUCUGGUAUGCACUGGUCUUACUGGCUCCUCCUUCCUGAUGAACCGUAAUGCCAUUAAUUUGGUGUUGCGGGGAGACUGGACUGUUACUUUGAAAAAUUAGAGUGUUUAAAGCAGGCUAACGCUUGAAUACAUUAGCAUGGAAUAAUGAAAUAGGACGUUCGAUCUUAUUUUGUUGGUUUCUAAGAUUGACGUAAUGAUUAAUAGGGAUAGUUGGGGGCAUUAGUAUUCAAUUGUCAGAGGUGAAAUUCUUGGAUUUAUUGAAGACUAACUACUGCGAAAGCAUUUGCCAAGGAUGUCUUCAUUAAUCAAGAACGAAAGUUAGGGGAUCGAAGACGAUCAGAUACCGUCGUAGU
RNAcentral lists this ribosomal RNA (450 nucleotides) under uncultured Glomus. Its description in RNAcentral is "SSU rRNA". It matches the Rfam family "Eukaryotic small subunit ribosomal RNA", at positions 569 to 1024 of the family's 1831-position model. Lineage: Eukaryota; Fungi; Glomeromycota; Glomeromycetes; Glomerales; Glomeraceae. The record is from RNAcentral.